AAUUUCAAAAAACUCUACACCAAGGAGCUUUUCAGGCGAUGCUUCGAGGUGACUGAUUGCACCACCAUCACCCUGCGGGAAUUCUGGAAGGACCACUUCAACAUCGUCACCUGCUUGAAGAUGAUCAACACGGCCUGGAACGGGAUCAGCCAGAGAAAUUUGAAUUGCGCUUGGCGCAGCCUGUGGCUGGACUGUGUGGCACCAAGUGACUCUGAUGCACCAGAGUCAACAGUGGUGCAGGACAUUGUUGCCUUGGGGAGGACCAUGGGCCUGGAGGUCACAGAGGAGGACAUCAGCGAGCUGGUGGAGGAGCACGACCACGAGCUGACCACCCAGGAGCUGGUCGAACUGCAGGCAGAGGCUGCGCAGGAGCAGGCCUCGCUGGAAGAGGAGGAAGCAACUGAGGAACGGCUGUCCUCCAAAGAACUGAGGGACAUUUGCCUGAAGUGGAAGGAUGUGCAGGCUUUUGCACAGUGGCACCACCCUGACAAGCACGUGGCACAUGACCUUGCGAACACUUUUGAUACGAGGGUCAUGUCGCCUUUCAGGGAGGUGUUGAAAAGGCGGAUGAAGCAGCAGACCAUGGACAGGUUCUUCAGCAAGAAGCAAAGGGUGGAAGAGGAACCUUCUUCGAGUUGUCCCCCAGAGUCUUAGAAAAUGUACUGUACACUUUGUUGAUUUUUAAAUGUUUUUCUGUCAUGUUUAGAAACUUAAUUUAUUGUUCCUUCAAUUUUUGAAAUGCUCUUUACAGUAUGCGUGACUUUAAAGAGCACUUAAACUCUUGUUGUACCAAAUUUGGCUUUGUUUGGACUUUUUUUGACCAUAGGAACGCAUUAAUUGAAUUUCAAUGCAUUCCUAUGGGAUUUCGUGCUUCGCAAGACGAAAAAUUUGCUAGACGAAAAAACUCGCGGAACGAAUUAAUUUCAUCUUGCGAGGCACCACUGUAUCUGGGCAGAAAUUGGGAAAAUGUCUGGGAAAAUCCGGACAUGGCGGCAGUGCCGUUUUUGCAGUUUUUCCAUAAAAGUAGCUCAAAAGUGGCAAAGAGCUCAACAAGGUAAAGGUAAAGGGACCCCUGACGAUUAAGUCCAGUCGUGACCGACUCUGGGGUUGCGGCGCUCAUCUCGCUUUACUGGCCGAGGGAGCCAGCGAACAGCUUCCGGGUCAUGUGGCCAGCAUGACUAAGCCGCUUCUGGCAAACCAGAGCAGUGCACGGAAACGCCGUUUACCUUCCUGCUGGAGUGGUACCUAUUUAUCUACUUGCACUUUGAUGUGCUUUCGAACUGCUAGGUUGGCAGGAGCAGGGACCGAGCAACAGGAGCUCACCCCAUUGCGGGGAUUCGAACCGCCGACCUUUGAUCGGCAAGUCCUAGGCUCUGUCGUUUAACCCACAGCGCCACCCGUGUCCCUAAAGAGCUCAACAACUUUGGGCAAAACUAAAAGAAGCUCAACAACUGCCUAGAUUUUCACAGUUUGAAAUAUGGCAACCCUACCUAUAUGAAGGCAUCUGCUUACACUGAUGCUGAUGCUUUCAUAUUCGGAAGUGUUAGAAAAGUGAGAGUGAGAGGAAGUCAGGGCAAGGAAAAGGUGUACAGAAACAUAUCAAAGGAUUGAUUUCACAUAUAUCCCAGAGCAGAUGACAAAUCUUGGAGAUGUGGGACAACAGGAGUGGAAAUAUCACGUUUGGUGUAUGCGUACUAAGUUGUUCUGGGAGUUAGUGUUGGUGAACACCAAGGAAAUGACAGGUUGUAACAAAGCAGGCCCCAUUAAUCAUUUUGUUUGGUAACACAGAAAAUGAAGUAAACAGGGUGAAUAGAGAAAUGCUUACUUAUGUAUUUACGGCUGUCAGGAUGGCAGUCUGCCAAAAGUGGGAACAGAAAGAAUCUCUGACACAAGAAGAUGGUUGAAUGGGAUAUGGGAUACAUGCUGAAGCUGACGGACAGGAUCAAAAACAGAGAAGGUUGGCAAGGGAGUAAAAGCUUUAUUGAUAGAUUGUCAUUGUUUAUUAUGGAUUGGAAUAACAAAGUGCAACCAUACAACUUGCUGGGAGAUGGGUAAUAGAUGACGGCAAAUGUUCACUACUUCUCUUCAGUUUCCCUCCUCCCUUGUAUAAAGCAUAUGGCAUUUACUCUGUACAGUAUGUUUUUUAACCUCUGUAUCUCACUUAUGUUAUGGAUUAACACAAACAAUUAUAAGCUUGUAUUACAAUUUACUGCCAUUUAUUUUUAGUUUUAAAAAUGAGGGGAUUUAUUUAUUUUUUAAGAGCAUUUUAGAAGGGAGGCAUUUUUCAGGACUGCCAAAAAUGUUCACAGGAAACUGAAGCUCUAGUUUCCAUGACUUGCUAGAAGACUUUAAAAACCCUUAUGUUUUAGUGACCUUUAAAAGUCCCAUCUGAAAACGUUCUUGCUGACUCUUCUGCAAUUCUUUUUAUUCACUGUAUGCUACCUUUUACAGCCUCUGUGAUGAACAAAAGCUAAAGGGAUUAAAAUCGAGUUGAUGGGUUGCCAAACCACUGGAUGUUCUUUUUCUAAACUACGUUUAUUUUUGUUUCCCUAGUUGUCCUUUGUCGCCCAUCUGCUGGAAUCCUCUUCUAGAUAAGACCCAUUACAACCGAGUAUUAGGCCAUGGACUGUGCCUAGUCACUGACUAUCAUCUUUGUGCAGAACAAUGGGCAGAAAGGUUACUCUCUACCUACACAUCGAGACCUUGAGGAGUAACAGGAAGCACUGUGGAAAAAGGCAUGCUGGAGCCUGGUAUUUUUUGUGGUAUUUUUUACAUAAACUGUGCUAUUCAUGUAGAAAUGUUAAGCCAAGUAAAUAAAGCAAAUCCAACUGUAAUAUUAUUACCAAUGUUGUAAACCUUGGUUUACAAACUUAAUCCGUUCCGGAAGUCCGUUCUUAAACCAAAGCAUUCUUAAACCAAGGCAUGCUUUCCCAUAGCAGUGGGGGACUCAAUUUACAAAUCGAACACACUCGACAGGAAGCAGAACAUGUUCUGCUUCCAAGGCAAAGUUCACAAACCAAAACACCUACUUCUGGGUUUGCAGCAUUCUUAAUCCAAGUUGUUCAUAAACUAAGCUGUUCUGAAAACAAGGUACCACUGUAGCUUGCAAGUAUGGGUGAGUUGUGGAAACUGGAAGAAAUAUAUUUGGGUAUCCUUUUGUCAUUAAGUAUAAACCACACUCAUAAAAUGUGUUCAAUGAAUUCCAGUCAUUCUCUUUAUAACUGGGACCUCCACAACUUUAUUAGUCAGAUCCUCCAUCAUGGAGGGCACGUGUUGCGGUGAGAUCACCAGAAACUGCCUCCCUGUUGUGGGGCAGAACCGUUUGGAUGGCCAAAACACCCCAUUGGUUGCCCCUCUGUUGCUGAGGCAGAAAUUUGGUCAGUUGGGUUGGCUAUUGGCUGCUGAGGGGCUACUUAAGCUGCUGCAUGUCGCUGGAGAGUUUCACUUUCUUGCAACGUGCAGCGGAUCACCCGCCCUCCUCUUUCUAUAUUUAGGGUUGUUCUUAUGGCCUUGCUAUGCCUGUCUAGGAGUCGUCUGUUUUGGAGCAGGGGCCCAGUAGGAAUUUUGCCAUUUGGCUGAUUGGCUGGUGCCACUUGGUUUUUGCCCACCAUGUAGCAAAUUGUCACAACUUUAUAAGGCUGGCGGUUAGGCAUUUGGUUCAAUGUUUUGGGGAGAGGAUGUUGUUGGCUGUGCCUGCCCCUCUAUUGCUGCUGCUAGGGAAUUCCAUUAAAGGAAUCCAGGGGCUCGCCAUGCUUUUGUCCAAACCCUGUCAAGGGGCUAGGGCCAUGCCAGAGCCCCUGGGAGCAUCUGGGGUGAGCUGUGAGAUCAAAGCCAUUUCUUGCUCCCCCAGGUUGCUUUCCCUUACUGACAUAUGGUGGUGCCCAGUGUCAGUCCUGUUCCUGUCACUGUGCAGGCUCAGGUAGUCUGGAACCAAUGCCUAAGCAACCACUCACAUGCUGUAAUCAAUAAAGGACUUCCGGGGUGGCGCCAUCGGCAAUGGCGGACUCCCUCUGAAUUGGUCUUUUCCGCUACGGCGAAGUGGGGACCCUUUUAAAAAUCACAGGCAGAUGAAGCCUGUGACCAUGGGACUCGGCGGGCACCCUUAGCGCCCCCCCAAUCCGCAAAGGAACCCACUAAUGGGCUCCGAAGCGAAGAGGGGGAAGCGGCGCGGUGCUGUGAGUCAACUGCUAUUUCCGUGGAGCGAAGCUGCACAGCCGUUGCCGGAGAGCGCUGCCUUUUUCUUGGGACAAUUUGGCUUUUAAAAUAAGCAUCCGUGAGUAUUUAAACUUUGAACAAUUGGACUUUAAAUAAGGACUUGCGAGCAGAAAGGAAUUGGACUUAGAAAUUUUACUUCAAUUUGGUACUGAAACGGGAAGGUCUAAACAGGAACUCAGCCUUCCGUUUCUUUGUAGACAGAAUAAAGCAAAGACAAUGUAAACUAGAGCUCAGAAAAUCGCCUCUAAAGGAUUGGCUUUCAUCAUUUAAAAUUGUUUAACCCCCCUUCGGCAGCAGGAGAAGGGGGAUCUUUUUUGGACUGUUUAAACCUGCAGAAGUGAGUUUAAAGUAAAGUAACUUUCCACCGUCCUGAUCCUGGAGCGGGAUGUCAGGACUGACGUAUGAAGCUCAUUGACCAGAGAUAAACGCUUUUGACAGAUAGCUAAAAGAAGAGGAACAUAGUGAUUCCAUUGUUUCCUUUCGCACCUUAAAGGAACAAAUAUUGACAAAAUAUCUGAAAAAAGGAAACUCUGUUGCUAGACUUGUCUUUAAAAGAAAGAUCAAAUAGAAGUUUUCCCCCUAGAGGGAGACUGUGAAACUGUAACCAACUCCUGGGAGCUGGCAGCUGUUACAGAUUACAAUCGUGGGAAUAGACAUCUGACCUUGCAGGACAAUGUAUUCAGAAGCUCUGUUGUGUGCUUUCUAUAAAACAAAUGCCCUACUGGAACAGCUACAUGAGAAGACGAAUUUGAUGGCUGAUUCGAUUAGAAAUUUUGAACAGGCAGUGGGAAAUUUUGAACAGGCAGUGGGAAAAUAUGUGGAGCCCACCCAGGAAUUAAAUCAGGAGUGUGCCCUGACAGAACAGGCCCAACAGGAAUAUGAGCUUCUGGAUUUGACAAAUGAACUUGGAAAAAGCCAGAUUUGGAAAGAAAAAGUGUGGUUUGGUUUGGAAAUGGGGGGUUGGAUAGACCCUCCUAUGCAGGGAUUUUUGGACUUUUCAAGUCUGGCAAUGGGCCGUGAGAUGUUUGGGAUUGUGGGGGCUCUCAAUUUUGGAUGGUUUUUGAAACAUGUUUUUAAAUACCACAUGGAAUUUAGUGUCGAUUAUGGAAAAGGGGCUGAUCUGUCGAGAAGGGUCAAAAAUAUUGCUAAGCUGGAGUUCCCACGAGUGAAACGAGCAGGAGACAAGGGAAAAUACAGUUACAAAUAUGAAGAAGAGCUGCGGAAGGGACAUGGAAGAGACUUAAGGGCUUCGGAUAUAAGGUCACCAGGUUAAUGCGCCAGAUCGAUGGGAUAAUAAGGACUGACAAACCCGGGACCAGGAGGAAGGGAUGCUGGAUGAAGAUUGAAGAUUGGAUUUGUUUUUAUUUCUUUUUUUCAUCACUAGGACUGUUUUAUAAAAUUGAUGAAUGUUAGAAAAAUGUUGGAAUGAAAUUAUUUGGCUUUAGUAAAAAUGUUUAAAGAAUUAUGUAAGAAUAUUAUGGUUAUGAGAAGUUGGUAAAAAUAAGAUUUAAGUUUUAAGUUCCAAGGUUUUUAUAGUAAGAUAAGAUUAAAAUAGUUUAAGGUAAUGUAAUGACAGAAUAUUAUGAAAUAUGGAAAGGAUUUGCUGUGACAAUUAACAACCAGGACACAAGGAAGGGGAGGAGGAGGAGGUCAAGGAAAGAGGGUAAUGACAGUUGAGGAGUUGAAAAUAAUGGAUUUGUUUUUAAUUGUUUUUAAAUUUUUGUGGUGUAUUUUUGUUUUCCCCCCUCUCUUAUUUUGUGUAUUUGUAUGGUUGGAAGUGGCUUGUUUUUCUCUUUUUCUACUUUGUUUUCUUUUGUAACUUAAAAAAAAAUAAAUUCCUUCAAUAAAUAUCAUUU
RNAcentral lists this long non-coding RNA (6071 nucleotides) under Podarcis lilfordi (Lilford's wall lizard). Lineage: Eukaryota; Metazoa; Chordata; Lepidosauria; Squamata; Lacertidae. The record is from RNAcentral.